GUAGCUAUAGCUCAGUGGUAUAGUGCAUGCCUAGCAUGCAUGACAUCCUGGGUUCAAUCCCCAGUACCUCCA
Molecule: transfer RNA, 72 nt
Organism: Camelus ferus (Wild Bactrian camel)
Lineage: Eukaryota; Metazoa; Chordata; Mammalia; Artiodactyla; Camelidae
Rfam family: tRNA
About the family: Transfer RNA (tRNA) molecules are approximately 80 nucleotides in length. Their secondary structure includes four short double-helical elements and three loops (D, anti-codon, and T loops). Further hydrogen bonds mediate the characteristic L-shaped molecular structure. tRNAs have two regions of fundamental functional importance: the anti-codon, which is responsible for specific mRNA codon recognition, and the 3' end, to which the tRNAs corresponding amino acid is attached (by aminoacyl-tRNA synthetases). tRNAs cope with the degeneracy of the genetic code in two manners: having more than one tRNA (with a specific anti-codon) for a particular amino acid; and 'wobble' base-pairing, i.e. permitting non-standard base-pairing at the 3rd anti-codon position.
Source: Rfam